GUCCACGCCGUAAACGUUGGGCACUAGGUGUGGGGAUCUAUCGACGGUUUCCGUGCCGAAGCUAACGCAUUAAGUGCCCCGCCUGGGGAGUACGGCCGCAAGGCUAAAACUCAAAGGAAUUGACGGGGGCCCGCACAAGCGGCGGAGCAUGUGGCUUAAUUCGAUGCAACGCGAAGAACCUUACCAAGGCUUGACAUGCUGGGUAAUCCGUGGAAACACGGCGAUCAUUCGGGAUCCAGCGCAGGUGGUGCAUGGCUGUCGU
This 262-nucleotide ribosomal RNA is filed under the name uncultured bacterium. Its description in RNAcentral is "partial 16S ribosomal RNA". It matches the Rfam family "Bacterial small subunit ribosomal RNA", at positions 793 to 1055 of the family's 1533-position model. The record is from RNAcentral.